GAGACUGCAUUGGUUCCUCA
RNAcentral lists this non-coding RNA (20 nucleotides) under Arabidopsis thaliana (thale cress). The record is from RNAcentral. Lineage: Eukaryota; Viridiplantae; Streptophyta; Magnoliopsida; Brassicales; Brassicaceae.